GCACCCGUAGCUCAGCUGGAUAGAGCGCUGCCCUCCGAAGGCAGAGGUCAAGCUCUCAAUUUCAAAUAAAACCUCGUUCU
Molecule: transfer RNA, 80 nt
Filed under: Sphingopyxis witflariensis
Lineage: Bacteria; Pseudomonadati; Pseudomonadota; Alphaproteobacteria; Sphingomonadales; Sphingopyxidaceae
Description: tRNA-Arg
Source: RNAcentral